RNAcentral lists this long non-coding RNA (218 nucleotides) under Nicotiana benthamiana. Its description in RNAcentral is "long non-coding RNA (NBEN_LNC040568)". The record is from RNAcentral. Lineage: Eukaryota; Viridiplantae; Streptophyta; Magnoliopsida; Solanales; Solanaceae.
GAAUCAUUAAAACUUAGGGUUAUUGUUUUACUCACAACCAUUUAAAAUGGCAUUUAUUGGGAGUUUUGAUGGUUGAAAGUGUGGGUGAUAAUGGAGGCUAAGGAUCAUUAUUUGGCGAAGAAAGAUUUUCAGAGGUCUUGAGAUUUCUGGAAAGUGUCUGCCAUUUGACCAGUUCAAGAAUUUGAGAGAGUGUGAGAAAGAUUUAAGCUUUGGUAUUU